CCUGGUAGUCCACGCCCUAAACGAUGUCAACUAGUUGUUGGGGAUUCAUUUCCUUAGUAACGUAGCUAACGCGUGAAGUUGACCGCCUGGGGAGUACGGUCGCAAGAUUAAAACUCAAAGGAAUUGACGGGGACCCGCACAAGCGGUGGAUGAUGUGGAUUAAUUCGAUGCAACGCGAAAAACCUUACCUACCCUUGACAUGGUCGGAAUCCYGCUGAGAGGYGGGAGUGCUCGAAAGAGAACCGGCGCACAGGUGCUGCAUGGCUGUCGUCAGCUCGUGUCGUGAGAUGUUGGGUUAAGUCCCGCAACGAGCGCAACCCUUGUCCUUAGUUGCUACGCAAGAGCACUCUAAGGAGACUGCCGGUGACAAACCGGAGGAAGGUGGGGAUGACGUCAAGUCCUCAUGGCCCUUAUGGGUAGGGCUUCACACGUCAUACAAUGGUCGGAACAGAGGGUUGCCAACCCGCGAGGGGGAGCUAAUCCCAGAAAACCGAUCGUAGUCCGGAUUGCACUCUGCAACUCGAGUGCAUGAAGCUGGAAUCGCUAGUAAUCGCGGAUCAGCAUGCCGC
RNAcentral lists this ribosomal RNA (569 nucleotides) under Burkholderia cepacia. Its description in RNAcentral is "bacterial SSU rRNA". It matches the Rfam family "Bacterial small subunit ribosomal RNA", at positions 786 to 1360 of the family's 1533-position model. The record is from RNAcentral. Lineage: Bacteria; Pseudomonadati; Pseudomonadota; Betaproteobacteria; Burkholderiales; Burkholderiaceae.